This is a long non-coding RNA of Oncorhynchus tshawytscha (Chinook salmon), 317 nucleotides long. Lineage: Eukaryota; Metazoa; Chordata; Actinopteri; Salmoniformes; Salmonidae. The record is from Ensembl.
CCUAGCUCAACCCUAACCAUAACCCUAACCCUAACCCUAAAUCUAGGUUCAUGUUCAUCCCCUGGCUCAACCCUAACCAUAACCCUAACCCUAACCCUAACUCUAGGUUCAUGUUCAUCCCCUGGCUCAACCCUAACCAUAACCCUAACCCUAACUCUAGGUUAAUGUUCAUCCCCUGGCUCAACAUUAACCAUAACCCUAACUCUAGGUUAAUGUUCAUCCCCUGGCUCAACCCUAACCAUAACCCUAACCCUAACUCUAGGUUCAUGUUCAUCCCCUGGCUCAACCCUAACCAUAACCCUAACCCUAACUCUAGG